UUCCUUAGCUUAAUAAGAGCGGUGGUCUUGUAAGCCACGGGUGUAGGUAAAUUCUUAUGGGAA
This 63-nucleotide transfer RNA is filed under the name Mimachlamys varia. RNAcentral describes it as "tRNA-Thr". Lineage: Eukaryota; Metazoa; Mollusca; Bivalvia; Pectinida; Pectinidae. The record is from RNAcentral.